RNAcentral lists this transfer RNA (77 nucleotides) under Tetragnatha maxillosa. RNAcentral's name for it is "tRNA-Leu". The record is from RNAcentral. Lineage: Eukaryota; Metazoa; Arthropoda; Arachnida; Araneae; Tetragnathidae.
AGUUAUAUGGCAGAUAAAUGCAUUAGAUUUAGAAUCUAAUAAUAAAAACUAUAAAUUAUUUUUAAAAAUUUUAAAUU